CUGGAGGUUAUUAUUUUUCCAUAAAAAGAGGCGUUCAGCAGCUUAAAAGGGGGUGGUCAAAAACAGAAAAGGAAGAAUAGCAGAGGGGCGUGGCACUCGAGCAAGGAAAAAACUUCUCUAAUUGAACCAGCAAGUGCCGAUCAAGCAACUGGAAUAGCAGUCAAAAUUUCAGCUAGCUGAGAGGAGGGAAGCUCGACAAUUUGAGAAGUUUUCUUUUCCAAGAUUCAGUUCGUAAUUCAUGUUGUUUACAAUUGAUUCUUGUUUUGUUUUACUCGCUAUGAGUGGCUAAAUUACUUAAGCUUAGUUAGACACUUAUGAAACCGAGCACAAGGGAUUUGACAAUUUGUUUUGUUUUAAAUUCAAAUUCGGUAUUCUUGAAUUGUUUGUUUUAUUGUUCAAGG
RNAcentral lists this long non-coding RNA (401 nucleotides) under Gossypium barbadense (sea-island cotton). Its description in RNAcentral is "long non-coding RNA (GBAR_LNC022290)". Lineage: Eukaryota; Viridiplantae; Streptophyta; Magnoliopsida; Malvales; Malvaceae. The record is from RNAcentral.